Molecule: small RNA, 578 nt
Filed under: Pongo abelii (Sumatran orangutan)
Lineage: Eukaryota; Metazoa; Chordata; Mammalia; Primates; Hominidae
Description: processed transcript
Source: RNAcentral
GCAUCCACCGCUGAGCUGGGAGAAAGAUGGCGGCAGCCGUGCGACAGGAUUUGGCCCAGCUCAUGAAUUCGAGCGGCUCUCAUAAAGAUCUGGCUGGCAAGUAUCGUCAGAUCCUGGAAAAAGCCAUUCAGUUAUCUGGAGCAGAACAACUAGAAGCUUUGAAAGCUUUUGUGGAAGCAAUGGUAAAUGAGAAUGUCAGUCUCGUGAUCUCGCGGCAGUUGCUGACUGAUUUUUGCACACAUCUUCCUAACUUGCCUGAUAGCACAGCCAAAGAAAUCUAUCACUUCACCUUGGAAAAGAUCCAGCCUAGAGUCAUUUCAUUUGAGGAGCAGGUUGCUUCCAUAAGACAGCAUCUUGCAUCUAUAUAUGAGAAAGAAGAAGAUUGGAGAAAUGCAGCCCAAGUGUUGGUGGGAAUUCCUUUGGAAACAGGACAAAAGUAUAACAGUACAAUGUAGAUUAUAAACUGGAGACUUACUUGAAGAUUGCUAGGCUAUAUCUGGAGGAUGAUGAUCCAGUCCAGGCAGAGGCUUACAUAAAUCGAGCAUCGUUGCUUCAGAAUGAAUCAACCAAUGAACAAU